CGAGAGGUGCUGGGAGCUAGUCUCUCUCACAUCCAAGGCAGGGGAAGAAUUAAGAGCUCCCUCGGUGAAGAAGCCCACUAGGAUGACUUUCAGACAUAACAACAGGAAGAAGAAAAAGUGAUUGUACAUACUGGAAGGUGCACCUGUCAGAAAACAAGAUGGCGUCUCAUGUUACCUUGAGGUCUCAGAUACCAGGGACUGGGAGGAGGAGGGCCCAGGUCAAACCUACAAGGAUCAACCACCAAUUUACAGGUAACAAUACUACAGAUAAAAACAUAAAAUAUAUCAUAUUCCACAUGUCCUUUCACUUAAUAUUCAGUUUACCUUUUGUUCUUCACAGGUGCAAAUACUUAACAAGUUGGCCCUAAGAGUACGGCAGUAGUUAAAACGAGGAAUUAAAACGUUGGUCCUCAAACCGUAUAUACUUCAAUUGAGAAGUCUGAGARGUAUGCAUAUGAUGCUCUUGCUUGUAUAUUAGGUACCGUGGUGUAGCUACUAGCUGAUGCAGUCAUCCCCAGUGUUGUGUUGUGGUACAGAAUAGUUUUCUAUUGUGCGUAAAUAAAUGAGAGAAAGGGAGUGGAAGUUA
Salvelinus sp. IW2-2015 is the source of this 586-nucleotide long non-coding RNA. RefSeq lists it as uncharacterized. NCBI's taxonomy places the organism in Eukaryota, Metazoa, Chordata, Actinopteri, Salmoniformes, Salmonidae. The record is from RefSeq and is a predicted model, not a curated record.